This 406-nucleotide ribosomal RNA is filed under the name uncultured bacterium. RNAcentral describes it as "partial 16S ribosomal RNA". It matches the Rfam family "Bacterial small subunit ribosomal RNA", at positions 30 to 526 of the family's 1533-position model. The record is from RNAcentral.
AUUGAACGCUGGCGGCAGGCCUAACACAUGCAAGUCGAACGAGUGGCGGACGGGUGAGUAAUGUCUGGGAAACUGCCUGAUGGAGGGGGAUAACUACUGGAAACGGUAGCUAAUACCGCAUACCAUCGGAUGUGCCCAGAUGGGAUUAGCUAGUAGGUGGGGUAAAGGCUCACCUAGGCGACGAUCCCUAGCUGGUCUGAGAGGAUGACCAGCCACGCUGGAACUGCGCCACGGUCCAGACUCCGACGGUAGGCAGGCGUGGGGUAUAUUGCACCAUGGGCUCAAGCCUUACGCAGCCAUGCCGCGUGUAUGAAGAAGACCUUCGGGUUGUAAAGUACUUCCAGCGGGUGGGCGUUACCCGCAGAAGAUGCACCGGCUAGCUCCGUGCCAGCAGCCCCGGUAAUAC